This 71-nucleotide transfer RNA is filed under the name Stegodyphus mimosarum. It matches the Rfam family "tRNA". From Rfam's summary of the family: Transfer RNA (tRNA) molecules are approximately 80 nucleotides in length. Their secondary structure includes four short double-helical elements and three loops (D, anti-codon, and T loops). The record is from Rfam by way of RNAcentral. Lineage: Eukaryota; Metazoa; Arthropoda; Arachnida; Araneae; Eresidae.
GCCUUCGUGGUGUAACGGUAGUACAUUGAGCGCGUAUUCUAGAGGUCCAGGUUCGAGUCCUGGCAGAAGCA